This 343-nucleotide unclassified non-coding RNA is filed under the name soil metagenome. RNAcentral's name for it is "partial contains 5.8S ribosomal RNA, internal transcribed spacer 2, and large subunit ribosomal RNA". The stretch from base 1 to 119 matches the Rfam family "5.8S ribosomal RNA", at positions 35 to 154 of the family's 154-position model. The record is from RNAcentral.
GAUGAAGAACGUAGCGAAAUGCGAUACGUAAUGUGAAUUGCAAAUUCAGUGAAUCAUCGAGUCUUUGAACGCACAUUGCGCCCCCUGGUAUUCCGGGGGGCAUGCCUGUCCGAGCGUCAUUGCUGCCCUCAAGCACGGCUUGUGUGUUGGGCCCCGUCCUCCGAUCCCGGGGGACGGGCCCGAAAGGCAGCGGCGGCACCGCGUCCGGUCCUCGAGCGUAUGGGGCUUUGUCACCCGCUCUGUAGGCCCGGCCGGCGCUUGCCGAUCAACCCAAAUUUUUAUCCAGGUUGACCUCGGAUCAGGUAGGGAUACCCGCUGAACUUAAGCAUAUCAAUAAGCGGGA